Long non-coding RNA from Cucumis melo (muskmelon), 1050 nucleotides. RefSeq lists it as uncharacterized. Lineage: Eukaryota; Viridiplantae; Streptophyta; Magnoliopsida; Cucurbitales; Cucurbitaceae. The record is from RefSeq and is a predicted model, not a curated record. The transcript has 5 exons.
CUUACGCCUUCGAUCCCUAACACUACUUUGAACAACAGCUGCAAGAAAUCCAUCAAGCCAACCCGUGCUCAGUCGUCGUUGAACCCAACACUGUGAUCCCUCGUGCCCAGCGUUGUUGUCGUCGAACCACCACGUGCCCAACCUUGUCGUCGUUGAACCACCACUAGAAGAAAUCCAUCGUCGUUGUGCUCGCCACCACCGUAGACCCACCCAUGCUCAGUAGUCAUCGAACCCACCACUGCUUUUGUGCUUGCCACUAGAAGGUCCGUCCCAACCAUCGCCAUCACCGUGCUUAGCCGUGUCUAUCUCGUAAUCUUGGAUCUGGUUAAAGCUCGUGGCCAGAUCUGCAUUCAAAGCACCGCUCAUUGAACGCCUUGAACGAUUCUGAAGUCGCCCUUGAAUUCAAUGUUGGCAGUUUGUCCAUUGAAUACCUUGAACGAUUUCCAGCUGAAGAUAUUCUGAUUAGAGAUGGUAUUUCUUCCAAAGACUUUGUAAUUGAUCUAUUUUCGCUCACAUUUGUUCGAUUUAACAGUAGUGAAGUAUGUCGAUCUCAAUGUUGGCAGCAUCCUAAUGUUAUUCUGAUGUGAAGAAGAAAGUGAAUGAUGCAGAUAGAAGUUAAAGCACCUUGAAGAAAUGACUCCUCUAGCAUACUACAACGUGGAAGACAAAGACAUAUAUCAAUUAUUACAAAUAUCAAACUUAAGUUAUAAAAGAUAUGGGAACGGAACUGUGGUGGUGAACAUGGAAAGGGGCUGGUGGGAUCUUAUAUUCCACAAGAUUAGAGUAGUUUUUGGCUUUGGAAUAUGAUUAGGAAAUAUAGACCACUCACUUCAAAGUUUAAAGAACCCAUUUGAAAUCAAGCUCCAAAUUUCGUACAAGUGAUAGUACCUGAGAUCUCAACAAGAGGAAAGGGGAAGGCCUUUAAUAACACUACAAUGAAGCAUAGAGUGAAGCGGUCGAUUAAGGUGCCCACGAUUAGUAACAAGCUAGAAGAUAUGAUGAUUAUUUAUGGAGGAAAAAUAGCCAAAAGCCAAUCAAGGGUUCUCCACA